GGGCAAUGCAUUACAAGUGUGACCCAGCAAGUCUCGUGGAUGAUGAAGAUAUUAAAUUAUAUUGUAAAAUUCUAUCUUUUAUAUUAUAAUGAAUUAUAAAAAGGAAGCACAGGCUAAAUUCGUGCCAGCAGCCGCGGUAAUACGGAUUGUGCAAGUCUUGACCUCGUGACUAGGUGUAAAAGGCCACAUAGGAGGUUAUAAAAGUUAUUGAGUAAAUACAGGGUAUAAACCUUGGAAUCUUAAUAAAACUUUAUAACUAGAAUAUAAUAGGGGUUUAAGAUAUCUUCUAAGUAAAGGUGAAAUUUGUAGAAAUAGAAGGGAUGACCUAUUAAGUGAAAACAUUAAAUCAUUUUAUAUUGACUCUGAAGUGCUAAAGUAUGGGGUUCAAAUGGGGGUUGUAUUCCCAAUAGUCCAUACCCUGACCGCUGAGAGUUAGAUUAGUUUAAAUAUUAAAUGAAAAGGUUGAGAAAAUCAAUUAAUUUAUUUAUUCUUUAAUUGAAAUUUAGAUUAAUCUGAAGCUAACGCCUAAACUCUCUACCUGGC
Molecule: ribosomal RNA, 543 nt
Filed under: uncultured bacterium
Lineage: Bacteria
Description: bacterial SSU rRNA
Rfam family: Bacterial small subunit ribosomal RNA
Source: RNAcentral